GAUGAAGAACGUAGCGAAAUGCGAUACUUGGUAUGAAUUGCAGAAUCCCGUGAACCAUCGAGUCUUUGAACGCAAGUUGCGCCCGAAGCCAUUAGGCCGAGGGCACGCCUGCCUGGGCGUCACACGUCGUUGCCCCCCCAUCUACUCCUUCGGGAUUGCGGGGAGCGGAUGAUGGCCUCCCGUGCGCCUUGUCGCGCGGUUGGCAUAAAUGCCAAGUCCUCGGCGACGCACGCCACGACAAUCGGUGGUUGCGAAACCUCGGUUGCCCGUCGUGUGCGGUCGUCGCGCAUCGAGGGCUCGAAAAAAUUGUCGGGCUCCGGCUCGGCUUUCAACGCGACCCCAGGUCAGGCGGGGUUACCCGCUGAAUUUAAGCAUAUCAAUAAGCGGAGGA
RNAcentral lists this unclassified non-coding RNA (391 nucleotides) under soil metagenome. RNAcentral describes it as "partial contains 5.8S ribosomal RNA, internal transcribed spacer 2, and large subunit ribosomal RNA". The stretch from base 1 to 122 matches the Rfam family "5.8S ribosomal RNA", at positions 35 to 154 of the family's 154-position model. The record is from RNAcentral.